Molecule: long non-coding RNA, 2929 nt
Organism: Anopheles funestus (African malaria mosquito)
Lineage: Eukaryota; Metazoa; Arthropoda; Insecta; Diptera; Culicidae
Exons: 3
Source: RefSeq, a predicted model, not a curated record
AAUCUGAAGAAGAGAACACAAUACGACAAUAGCUUUAGUAAGGUAAGCUUGUCCCAUUUCACUAUUUUUCGAUCUGGGUAUGCGUGAAAGAGAGAGUCCUUAAUUUUGUUUGCUUGGUUUUUUUUUAGGUCGGCAACGUCACUAUCAUUCCACAAAUGCGCCUUUCAACGUUACAACGAUAAUGUGUAAUGUGAAUCGCUGAAGCACACACUCGUUGAAGGUACUACAAGCUUCCUGUCGAUCACUCUACUAGACCAGAAACACACAAACGCUAAUUGGGCGUAAAAUUAGCUUCAUCGCGUACUCGCCCGGGAAGAACUCAUUCGGUAACGACAGAUGGAAACUCUCAGCCGGCCAUGCAGACGGAACACUCACUAACGGGAGAAUUGCUGCGUUUUAAGAUAAAACUGCGAACACACACAUCCACAGAAACACGCGGAAACCCCACAAGAAAAGCGUACGCCAGAUCAAAGUUACCGUCACCCGAAAUCAAAUCCGUUUGCGUUCAAAUAUUUACCAAUAAUCGGAUGUCACAACCUUCAACCAAGUGAAGUGGAACGCUCUCGAAAUUGCUAAACAGUGGAAAACAGAAGGAAAAGUUUCAUCGACGCUCCUGGCUUAAAUUGGCGUACGCAGACGGGCGGCAGACAGGUGAAUAAUGCGCGAAUGAUUCGAAACCAACGUGUUUUAUAUGAACCUGCAGUUUCGCCAACGGUCGUUUCUUUAGAUUGCACUAACACAUUCAUAAAACAAACGAGCUACCGGUAAAGAGAGUCAAUUCGAUAGUUCGCUCUCGUUCGGUAAGAGUCGACUCAGGUGUUUCACCCUGAAAAACCAAAAACGAUGACGUAGAUAACCGUGGGCCACCAACAGACGUUUCGGACGCGAUCUGAACGAUCGUCGUUUAUCUAUAGUACGAGUGUUCUACAUUAGGCUACUAUAAUUGAUAAACGAAUAAUUUGCGUCAAUAAUUCAUGGCGUGAAGCAAGUUUACGUAGAUUGCUCUCUACCUGUCCAUUGCACAGGUAAGUUUUGAUCAGAAAAAUGUUUACUUGAACCCCUAAUGAAUCGGUUUUUCUUUACAUUUAGGAUUGAUAGUAAUUAACUCCCGAACUGCGCAGAUUCAUUAACAUCCAUCGGAUUAUCGUCGUUUGUCAAAAAUGUUUAAAAUCGGUCGAAAAACUGAUGGAAUCAUUAGACUAGUCUUGACUUCUCAUGACGAAUAUCUUCCUUCGAGGAUCGAUGUUUGUUGUUUACAAGACGUCUAUCGUGGAAACAUUGAUGACGCAGCUUUAUCCAUAGAUCAAUAAUUAUUAGGGUAUAGAAAAUAUUCAGAAACAUACAGCACCACCGAUGAAAGCCGAUUUAAUUUUUUUUCCAGCAUGAAAUAAACUAUUCAAAUCGGCAUAAUCGGUUGAAGGUAUGCAAAAGAGUUAUUUAUUUUUGCGCAACUCGUAGUAAACAACGCUGUCACAUUACACUUUCUGUGUAAUUAGUAUCUAAUUUGCUAGCCGUUCGUGCGAUUGCAAUGUCACGUUUGUCGCUAGAAAAUGGUGUACGCAAUGAUGAAAACAACUGAUAAGUUCUAACCACUAGCUCGACGAAUCCGGCGCCAUUGGUCAGUCGCUUGGAGGGCUUGCGUUUGAUUGAGUGAUUGGCAUAAUCAUAACGCAUGCAAGAUGCGAUCAACAACCCGCAGGGAGGUGUGUCCACGGCACCCGAGAUGAUCGUAGGUCAUACGUCUUACACGCUUCAAGCAAACUGAUCAUUGGCAGUUUGUAUACAACGGUAGCAGUCCGUCAGACGUUAAGCUACAGCCACCACGGCUAUAGCUUCUCGCGUUACCUGACGGUGCCUACAUCACUUCAACCCGAGAAGGCGCCAUUAAUCGCACGUGUGUGUGUGUGUGUGUGCCAAUUAUGACUCUAUUAAUUUAGCGCAUUGAGCAAGCGGUAACUCUAGCGAUUCACUCGGCACACGCGUAGGUGUGUAGUGCAUUUAAUUGCAUUCGGCGUGUGGCUGUGAUUUUGGCUUACCAAGAGGAAAAGUGUAUCUCGGAAAAGAGGGAACAUUUUAAUGCUUUCUCGCGAUCGCGAUCGUCCAAUUGAUGGACGCAAUUAAUGCAAAGCGUUUGCCGUACUUGCCACCCCACCAUGCCGGUGUCCGAUUGGAUCGAUCAUUUUAAGCUUCGGUUGAAAUUUUUAAACACAUUCUGAAGGCAAUUUCACUCGUUUCUUCUGUCGCGUUUUGUUUCAAAGAAAAACAGCAAAGCAAGUACCUGCUUCAUCUCCCUCCCAAAGUGUGGCUCGUUGCGUGGGAUUUAAAACGAAUGGAAAAUCUAUCAACGGGAAUGGGUCCUAUUCGUUUUGCUAAUAUCGUCGGAAAAUAUGAUUUGUCAUUUAGCUGGCACUACGGGACAUCGCUCAUAGAUUAUGAAGGGCGUUAAUAUGCGAUGGUGAUUAAAAUAUUGUGCCUAUGAGAAGCCGACAAACAAAUAAGCGAUCCAUUAGCUGGUUGGGACUAAUUGAGAGACCACUACGGACAGCGAUGCAUAGAGGCUGAAGAGGAUAUUUUGAGAAAUGGAUGUAAUUAUAUAAUGAUAUGCGGCGAACGCUUGGUUUUAUUGAUACCUUAACCAUUUGUGUUCAUUCGUAACGACAUGACAAUGUAUGAUAACCGAUAUAUUAAUUGAAUUUAUUUGCAAUAUAAUGGUUAAUUUACAAAAUUUGAAGUACGGUAAAUGCGAUUUUAUUGAUAUAAAAAAAAGUAACAAUUUUUGAAGGGUUAUUCGUAUUAUCCGCCUAACAAAUUUACUGAUGUAUCUGAUGAUUUACGUUUACUGCACAAGGAUAAUUUUUAUUUCUUGACUUACUUCCCGCACCGUAAAGUCCCGUAAGACUAUAUUUAUAUCACUCGACUCACCUUAAAA